Molecule: non-coding RNA, 75 nt
Organism: Myotis brandtii (Brandt's bat)
Lineage: Eukaryota; Metazoa; Chordata; Mammalia; Chiroptera; Vespertilionidae
Source: Rfam
GGUGGUUCUUGGAUGACGCACCUCAGAAUCAGGCUCCCUCCUCUCUGGUUCCGCGUGUGUCACCUGAGAACCACA